RNAcentral lists this ribosomal RNA (491 nucleotides) under Staphylococcus aureus. RNAcentral's name for it is "partial 23S ribosomal RNA". It matches the Rfam family "Bacterial large subunit ribosomal RNA", at positions 1582 to 2074 of the family's 2925-position model. The record is from RNAcentral. Lineage: Bacteria; Bacillati; Bacillota; Bacilli; Caryophanales; Staphylococcaceae.
GUCUUCGAGUCGUUGAUUUCACACUGCCGAGAAAAGCCUCUAGAUAGAAAAUAGGUGCCCGUACCGCAAACCGACACAGGUAGUCAAGAUGAGAAUUCUAAGGUGAGCGAGCGAACUCUCGUUAAGGAACUCGGCAAAAUGACCCCGUAACUUCGGGAGAAGGGGUGCUCUUUAGGGUUAACGCCCAGAAGAGCCGCAGUGAAUAGGCCCAAGCGACUGUUUAUCAAAAACACAGGUCUCUGCUAAACCGUAAGGUGAUGUAUAGGGGCUGACGCCUGCCCGGUGCUGGAAGGUUAAGAGGAGUGGUUAGCUUCUGCGAAGCUACGAAUCGAAGCCCCAGUAAACGGCGGCCGUAACUAUAACGGUCCUAAGGUAGCGAAAUUCCUUGUCGGGUAAGUUCCGACCCGCACGAAAGGCGUAACGAUUUGGGCACUGUCUCAACGAGAGACUCGGUGAAAUCAUAGUACCUGUGAAGAUGCAGGUUACCCGCG